AAAAGUUUCGUCAGUAGAAUAAGAAACAGAUAGAUAUGAGAUAUAUCCUCUUGGUUGUGGUUGUCCUUGUGGUGCUUGUAGACCAGGGGAAUGGUCUCUCCUGUAUUCCAUGUGCCCAAACGAAAUGUGCGGCGCCCAGGGGAUGCAGAAGAAAGAACUACGUAAAAGACCUCUGCAAUUGCUGUGAUGUAUGUCCCACUAAAUUCGGGCAACCUUGCUCUGGACUGAAACCAAAAUGCACAAAGGACUUGUGGUGUAUCAAGAUAGAUGGGGAUUCCGCCGAGGCCAAGAAGAACUUAGUCUGGAGUGAUCGAUUCGAGGGCGUGUGUGGAAGAAUUAAAAUCGAAAGAAAGGAAGGACCUAAAUCUUAGAGUUGUAUCCAGUUGUUGGCCAACAUGAAGGGUUUACCUCGCUUGUAAACAACACACUACAAAUUAAAUGUUGAGCAAAACUAUUCAGUAAACUAUUUCAAAAUCU
This 477-nucleotide long non-coding RNA is filed under the name Haliotis rufescens (red abalone). RNAcentral describes it as "uncharacterized LOC124136981". Lineage: Eukaryota; Metazoa; Mollusca; Gastropoda; Lepetellida; Haliotidae. The record is from RNAcentral.